UCCUACGGGGGGCAGCAGUAGGGAAUAUUGCUUAAUGGGCGCAAGCCUGAAGCAGCAACGCCGCGUGUGCGAUGAAGGCCUUCGGGUCGUAAAGCACUUUUGACUGGGACGAGGAAGGACGGUACCAGUAGAAUAAGCCUCGGCUAACUACGUGCCAGCAGCCGCGGUAAAACGUAGGAGGCGAGCGUUAUCCGGAUUUACUGGGUGUAAAGCGCGUGCAGGCGGUUUGUUAAGUUGGAUGUGAAAGCUCCUGGCUCAACUGGGAGAGGUCGUUCAAGACUGGCAGACUGGAGAGCAGUAGGGGAAGGUGGAAUUCCGGGUGUAGUGGUGAAAUGCGUAGAUAUCCGGAGGAACACCAGUGGCGAAAGCGGCCUUCUGGACUGCAUCUGACGCUCAGACGCGAAAGCUAGGGGAGCAAACGGGAUUAGAUACCCCGGUAGUCCC
RNAcentral lists this ribosomal RNA (444 nucleotides) under uncultured bacterium. Its description in RNAcentral is "bacterial SSU rRNA". It matches the Rfam family "Bacterial small subunit ribosomal RNA", at positions 337 to 797 of the family's 1533-position model. The record is from RNAcentral.